CUUCAACGAGCCGAGCUGAACGGGCUUUUCGCGGUCCUGGCCGUAGGUGGCGAGCAGGGCCUGCGCCUC
Molecule: antisense RNA, 69 nt
Filed under: Streptomyces bungoensis
Lineage: Bacteria; Bacillati; Actinomycetota; Actinomycetes; Kitasatosporales; Streptomycetaceae
Description: ASpks TB sRNA
Rfam family: ASpks TB sRNA
Source: Rfam by way of RNAcentral